UCUGGGGGUGGCUGUGUGUCACCCAGGGGUUCACCCCGCCUUCCUCCUCCUCCUCCUCGGGGCGGGGCGGGGCGGGCUGCCGGCGGCUCCCCCGGGACACCGCCUCCCCCCGGCCCGGCCCCGGCGGCGGAGGCGGGCACGGCUGCACCUGCCGGCUCGGCACGGCACGGCACGGCACGGCACGGCUCAGCCCAGCCAUGCCGGCAGCCACGGCGCCGGGCCCGGAGGUGCCGCGGAGCGCUGCGCCCGGGCGGGACGGCGGCGGCCCCCCCCGCGGCUACACAGGUACGGAGGGAUGCGGCCGGGCCCUCCUUUAGGGCACGGGGCGGGACCCCCGGGAGGGGUUUGGGGUCUCCUGUCCCGCUCCGAAGGCUGCGGGAACCCCCGUCGAGGGGCUGCGGCUGCCGCAGGGGUGGACUCCCCUCAGCCGCCCCCUCCCCGCAGCACCCCCCAAGCUCUGGGGGCACCCCGGGGGGUGGCGAGGUCCCCGCCGUGCUCGCAAGGGGCUCGGAGCUGGGCAAGAGAAGGGAGACUUUAUGGGGCCGGCGGCUCGGAGCUGGGCAGCAGCCGGGGGAGUUCGCGGGGCUCGGAGCUCACUCGCCGGAGCACGACCCGAAGGGAGCGGCUCGGCACGGUUUGUGCUGCCGGGAGCUGCCGGCCCCGAGCCCAGCUAGCCUCCCGGCGGGUGUGAAACGGCCCGGGGAGAAAAUGGAGCCCCGGGUGUUCCGCUCUAAUAGGGUGAUGCACCGAGGGGCGGAAUGGGAAACGAAUCAAAGCUCUCUUGCUUCCUCUUCUUCCCCCUUCCACCCCAGUGUCGUUGCCCAACCUGGGCAGGGGAGCACGUUUCCAGAGCUCCUUGGCUGGGCUGGGAGCGGUGAACUUGCUGGCGACAGGAGCCGAAGGGGCUCUGGCCCUAGCACAGGUGGGACGCGCAUGCUGCACCUGGGCUGUCACCUCUGCAACUUUCAAGGGCUGGGGGACACAGAGGGGUCCUGCUGCCCACGGCGGUGCUGGAUCGGGCUCCAGCAGCUGCCUGCUUGCAGCCCCGGCGAGCUCUGA
Molecule: long non-coding RNA, 1059 nt
Filed under: Anser cygnoides (Swan goose)
Lineage: Eukaryota; Metazoa; Chordata; Aves; Anseriformes; Anatidae
Description: lncRNA (ENSACDG00005011316.1)
Source: RNAcentral